Molecule: ribosomal RNA, 660 nt
Filed under: Triticum aestivum (bread wheat)
Lineage: Eukaryota; Viridiplantae; Streptophyta; Magnoliopsida; Poales; Poaceae
Description: partial small subunit ribosomal RNA
Source: RNAcentral
AUGGCGCCGGUGAAGGUGUUCGGGCCGGCCAUGUUGACCAACGUGGCCCGGGUGCUGGUGUGCCUGGAGGAGGUCGGCGCCGAGUACGAGGUCGUCGACAUCGAUUUCAAGGCCAUGGAGCACAAGAGCCCUGAGCAUCUCGUCAGAAACCCGUUCGGCCAAAUCCCUGCCUUCCAGGAUGGGGAUCUGCUUCUCUUCGAGUCACGCGCAAUUGCAAAGUACGUGCUCCGCAAGUACAAGACGAACGGAGUCGACCUGCUGAGGGAAGGCGACCUGAAGGAGGCGGCAAUGGUGGACGUAUGGACGGAGGUGGACGCGCACACCUACAACCCGGCCAUCUCGCCGAUCGUGUACGAGUGCCUCAUCAACCCGCUCAUGCGCGGCCUGCCGACCAACCAGACGGUGGUGGACGAGAGCCUGGAGAAGCUCAAAAAGGUACUGGAGGUCUACGAGGCACGCCUCUCCCGGCACGAGUACCUGGCCGGGGACUUCGUCAGCUUCGCGGACCUCAACCACUUCCCCUACACCUUCUACUUCAUGGCCACGCCGCACGCGGCCCUCUUCGACUCGUACCCGCACGUCAAGGCAUGGUGGGAGAGGCUCAUGGCGAGGCCGGCCGUCAAGAAGCUCGCCGCGCAAAUGGUUCCCAAGAAGCCGUGA